Molecule: long non-coding RNA, 240 nt
Filed under: Monodelphis domestica (gray short-tailed opossum)
Lineage: Eukaryota; Metazoa; Chordata; Mammalia; Didelphimorphia; Didelphidae
Description: lncRNA (ENSMODG00000045439.1)
Source: RNAcentral
CUCGGCUUCUAGUCCAGCACCCGGGGAAGAAUGGGGAUACAAGAUUUAUAGGACCCUGACAAAAAGGAAACAAGGCAAUAAGCAUAUAUUAAGAUUGCACUAUGUGCCAGGUUUUGUGGCAAAGGCUAGGGAACAAAUACAAGCUAAAAGGAAAGUCCUUGCCCUCGAGGAGCUUACAGUGAGAUGGCAGUGGAGGCACACAACAGGCUUUUGGAGAAAGCAUUGGGUAAGUAAACCUGG